RNAcentral lists this ribosomal RNA (261 nucleotides) under uncultured bacterium. RNAcentral's name for it is "partial 16S ribosomal RNA". It matches the Rfam family "Bacterial small subunit ribosomal RNA", at positions 1231 to 1500 of the family's 1533-position model. The record is from RNAcentral.
UGGCAGGUACAGAGGGAUGCUACCGGACGACCGGAUGCGGAUCUCGAAAGCCUGUCCCAGUUCGGACUGGAGUCUGCAACCCGACUCCACGAAGUUGGAUUCGCUAGUAAUCGCGCAUCAGCCAUGGCGCGGUGAAUACGUUCCCGGGCCUUGUACACACCGCCCGUCAAGCCCUGGGAGCCGGGGGCGCCUGAAGUCCGGGACCGCGAGGACCGGCCUAGGGCGAAACUGGUAACUGGGGCUAAGUCGUAACAAGGUACC